Molecule: non-coding RNA, 1240 nt
Organism: Manis javanica (Malayan pangolin)
Lineage: Eukaryota; Metazoa; Chordata; Mammalia; Pholidota; Manidae
Source: RefSeq, a predicted model, not a curated record
AAGUGACAGCCCAGGGGGGUUCCCUGAUUCCACAGCACUAGACUCAGCCUCUGGGCCUCAAGUGGUUUGGGGGUUUUGGAAUCUUUCUUCCUAGAGAAGCGGCUUUUGCCCCCCACGCCCUGUAGUCUGGACUCCUGGACCUGCUUCCUUUGCCCACAGCAAACCCCAGACUGAACCCCCUACCUCAUCAAACUUCCAAGUCUACAAACGAGGAACGGGGGCUAAGCAGCUUUGUUCCUACUACUGGGAGGAGAUGCAGGAAGGCAAUGACCUGGAAGACCUUGAGCACUUGCCACCUCCAUCCCUCCUGAGCUGAGGCCCUGACACCCCACUGAUGGGCACGGACACCCCCUGCAACUUCUCCACUGCUGCCCACCGCUGCAUUGUGGGUGGCUUGCCGACUGCAGCAGUCAUCGUCCCGGUCCUGCUCUCCUCAUCCACUCUGCUGGUCAUCAGCUACAUCUUGUGGAAGACAUGCCGCCAGUGGUCUCAGGCUAUCCAUCCCAGCCUGCUGUUCCCAUGAGGUAAGUCACACAGGGACCCCAAGGACAGGGAGCUUCCAUUUCUUUUUUAUUCUUAGUCUCCUUGAGCACAAUACUCAGAAAAAUCCUAUAAGUCUGUAUUGCUCAAAGGUGUGACAUGUGAUCCUUAAAUCAAAAGGAGAAACUCUCCUUACUCUCUUGAGGCAACAAGAUGUGCUGAGCUGGAUAAAAGCUCAUAGAGGCUACAAACAUCCAGGUGAGGCUUGGAUGGCAUGACAACUGCCAGGGCCCUGAAUCCCUGCUCAGCCUAGAGCCACCCCUCUCCCUUAUCUACUGACUGAGCUCUGGGAUUCUGAGGGACAACAAACUGAGGAAGUGGGUCCCAUGUAGCUAAUACACAAAAGCCCAGGAUUCUCACUGCUGCCUUAAGAUCUCAGGACAUCUGCUCUGUCUUCCAGCCACGGUUCAUGGCUUCUCCCACUCAUCCAAUAACCCAGGUGUGUACCAUGUACCAGGCAUGCUGGGUGCUGGGUUUAUAACAACAGAUGAGACCCAGACUAGUAAUAUAGUGGUUUGAAUAGAACAAUGCCAACAGAGUAGGAGAAGCACUUGGAUGGAAUUCAAGAGUCUGUGGGAGCAUAGAGCAGAGGCCACUAACCAGCCAGGGGAAGAGGGUUAAGGAAAGCUUCCAAGAAAAGACAUCUAAACCUAGACCUGAAGGAUGACUAGGGGCUUGCUGGAAAGAAGGUAGGACAGGA